This 1174-nucleotide long non-coding RNA is filed under the name Strongylocentrotus purpuratus (purple sea urchin). RNAcentral's name for it is "uncharacterized LOC105437317". Lineage: Eukaryota; Metazoa; Echinodermata; Echinoidea; Camarodonta; Strongylocentrotidae. The record is from RNAcentral.
GCGAGUCUACGACUUGGCUCAUGCGCAGUUGCACUGUUGUGCUUUCAGUGUUGUCUACCAUCGUCUGCGCAACAAUGAACCCCAAUGAACCCAAUUUCUGAGCUUGAAAUUGUUUUUCGUAGCAAUCCCGAAAAUGUACAGAGAGACUUGUUGCCGUACCAAAUUCUUGCCUUCUUUUGAGUAUGUGCUUGAAACAAAUAUGUCCUGGAGAGAACGGACCACCAUGCACCAUGAGAGAAGGAAUUGAGAAGGACAGCUUCCUGUCAAGAGAUCAUGUGGUGCCUUGAGGUUCCAGUCUUGAAUUUCUGCCCUUUACCUCAAAGCGAUGGCCUCUUGUAGGAGCAAAGCACAAUGGACUGGUGCCUGUACAUGCAAGUCAGAAGCUCAUGAUGAUAUGGUAGACACAACGAGGACCUUGCUGUCUAAAGCUCAGAGGCCAGAUGACAGAGUCUGAAGUACAUCCAGCUUUUCAGAAUUGGUUACAAAGAUGCAAGUGGACUUGUCUUCUGUAGUGGCUAAAGAGGAGCAGUCAGCAGAAGGACCGUGCAACAAUGUGGAUACCUCUCUCAAGUUCAUCUCUAAUCAGACACAUGGCUCUCCAGGAAUCAAGAUUUGACACUGGAGGUAGAGGAGUCUGUGACCCUCCUGACUGUGGACUACUAACUUGCAUUAUACAUGUACUAAAUUAAUGGAUUGAAGCACUACUGCACAAAACUCGACCAGUCAUGCUUGAACAAAUUGUAAUAAAUACUUGGUGAAGCAUUGAUAUAUGUAACUGGUAUUAGCCUUAAGGUACAGUUAAGCUUCUAAAUUUGAUAAAAAAACCUCAAGAACUUCAAGCUGCAACCCCCCCCCCCCCCUGCUCUUCUGUAAACCCUUCGAGCAAGGGAUUAAAUGAAUUAAAAUCCAAACUUAAUUACUAAUGAAUUGAUCUGUUAAUUAUUGUCAUCAUUUCAGGAUAGUUCUUUGUGUGGAGAUCAGUGAAUGGAUAUUUCCAUUUAAAAUGCAAGUGAGGUGUCUAUCUUCACUGGACAUGAAGGCUGGUUUUCAAAGAGAGAAGCAAGAAAGAUAGAUUGAUGUGAACUUAAUGACAUAGGGAAUGUUUCCCUGUAUUGUCGGAUUGAGGUUUGAAUGGCAUGGAUGUUGAAUAAUGUGAAGUUAGUGAAAAGAAUGG